UUGUAAUUGUGUAAACUCUGAAUGACGAUUCACCCUGAUAAACAUGAAGCCUUGUCUAUGCUUUAUCAAAUGCCUGUGAAGACAAGUUCCUGUGUAAAGAAGAACGGAAAGCUCCUCUUAAGCAGACGUUUAGUAUAGUAUGGACAGAAUGUUUUAGCAAGAUAUGCAUUUGUCUGUUAAGCAAUCUAUAUUCUGAGAAUAAGCGGAGACUGCCUCCGCUCUGUUGUGAUAACCGCAUGCCUAUAUAACCUGCAAUAAAGAAGAGUACUGUGUGACUGUCUCUCGACACGUUCACCCAUGUACAUGUAAUUGAUUACAUUGUCUCACUGUGUUUCUGUUUACCUUGGCAGACUUCUGUUUGGGAUUUUCCCUUAACAUAGGGAAAUCGUGAUAUCGACUGAAAACAUUCUUAAAAACUAACUGGAGACUUUAAAUGAGCUAAUUAAACAUCAUACUGGCUCUUUAAUCGAUGGAGUCAUUUCUGAAGCCCCCAUAAAAAAGAAUAGAAAAGAAGAUCAGGAUGUUUCACCUCUUAUUGCAAGAGGCUCCUUUGGAACUGAAGAAGCCUACCAUUGAUGAUUUAAAUCUACACAGACCAUUCAGUUAAAUAUUAGGCAGAAACACUGUAACAAGCAACAGGCUGCAAUGAAAUUUAAUCAUGAGACAAUUAAAUUAAAAGUGUUUGUUCCUGUCAAGCACAAAUUAUUAUUCUUACACUGUAAAAUGUGUAAAUUAUAAUAAUUUACACUGUAAAUUAUGUUGUUUCAAUAUAAAAAUAUGAUGUAAAGUAAUAUUCUUCAUCUUGUCUUCUCAUAUUAACUUUACCCUCACCCACCACCGGCCGCGGCAGAUGGCCGUCCCUUCCUGAGCCCGGUUCUGCCGGAGGUUUCUUCCUGUUAAAGGUAGUUUUUCCUCCCCACUGUCGCCCAGUGCUUGCUCAUAAGGGAUUAAUAAUUUAUGAGGGGUUUUCUUGCUGCUACUGUAGGGUCUUUAUCUUACAGUAUAAAGCAACUUGAGGAGAUUGUUUGAUGCUAUAUUAAAAUUCUUAAAUUCUGUCACAGCGGGACAGAACGGACUCACGCGCAGGCCCUAAGUCUCGAAAACACAAGAGUCUUUAUCACAGUACACCAGGUGAUCUAUUUACAAAGGUGAGGGGAAGGCCAGACUCCGGGGGUCCACACACGAAAGGGAAAGACGCUGAAAGUCCACGCACACACUCC
Long non-coding RNA from Oreochromis aureus, 1220 nucleotides. Lineage: Eukaryota; Metazoa; Chordata; Actinopteri; Cichliformes; Cichlidae. The record is from Ensembl.